This 296-nucleotide signal recognition particle RNA is filed under the name Hucho hucho (huchen). RNAcentral describes it as "Metazoan signal recognition particle RNA (ENSHHUG00000015761.1)". It matches the Rfam family "Metazoan signal recognition particle RNA". From Rfam's summary of the family: The signal recognition particle (SRP) is a universally conserved ribonucleoprotein. Lineage: Eukaryota; Metazoa; Chordata; Actinopteri; Salmoniformes; Salmonidae. The record is from RNAcentral.
GCCGGGUGCGGUGGCGUGCGCCUGUAAUCCAAGUUACUGGGAGGCUGAGGCUGGCGGAUCGUUUGAGCUCAGGAGUUCUGAGCUCCAGUGGACUAUGCCGAUCGGGUGUCCGCACUAAGUUCGGUAUCGAUAUGGUGCUCCUGGGGGAGCCCGGGACCACCAGGUCGUCUAAGGAGGUGCACCGGCCCAGGUCGGAAACGGAGCAGGCCAAAGCCCCCGUGCCGCUCAGUAGUGGGAUCGCGCCUGUGAAUAGACGCUGUAGUGCAGCCUGAGCAAUACAGCGGGACACAGUCUUU